This 1028-nucleotide ribosomal RNA is filed under the name Pseudomonas frederiksbergensis. Its description in RNAcentral is "bacterial SSU rRNA". It matches the Rfam family "Bacterial small subunit ribosomal RNA", at positions 56 to 1078 of the family's 1533-position model. The record is from RNAcentral. Lineage: Bacteria; Pseudomonadati; Pseudomonadota; Gammaproteobacteria; Pseudomonadales; Pseudomonadaceae.
UGCAGUCGAGCGGCAGCACGGGUACUUGUACCUGGUGGCGAGCGGCGGACGGGUGAGUAAUGCCUAGGAAUCUGCCUGGUAGUGGGGGAUAACGCUCGGAAACGGACGCUAAUACCGCAUACGUCCUACGGGAGAAAGCAGGGGACCUUCGGGCCUUGCGCUAUCAGAUGAGCCUAGGUCGGAUUAGCUAGUUGGUGAGGUAAUGGCUCACCAAGGCGACGAUCCGUAACUGGUCUGAGAGGAUGAUCAGUCACACUGGAACUGAGACACGGUCCAGACUCCUACGGGAGGCAGCAGUGGGGAAUAUUGGACAAUGGGCGAAAGCCUGAUCCAGCCAUGCCGCGUGUGUGAAGAAGGUCUUCGGAUUGUAAAGCACUUUAAGUUGGGAGGAAGGGCAUUUACCUAAUACGUAAGUGUUUUGACGUUACCGACAGAAUAAGCACCGGCUAACUCUGUGCCAGCAGCCGCGGUAAUACAGAGGGUGCAAGCGUUAAUCGGAAUUACUGGGCGUAAAGCGCGCGUAGGUGGUUCGUUAAGUUGGAUGUGAAAUCCCCGGGCUCAACCUGGGAACUGCAUUCAAAACUGACGAGCUAGAGUAUGGUAGAGGGUGGUGGAAUUUCCUGUGUAGCGGUGAAAUGCGUAGAUAUAGGAAGGAACACCAGUGGCGAAGGCGACCACCUGGACUGAUACUGACACUGAGGUGCGAAAGCGUGGGGAGCAAACAGGAUUAGAUACCCUGGUAGUCCACGCCGUAAACGAUGUCAACUAGCCGUUGGGAGCCUUGAGCUCUUAGUGGCGCAGCUAACGCAUUAAGUUGACCGCCUGGGGAGUACGGCCGCAAGGUUAAAACUCAAAUGAAUUGACGGGGGCCCGCACAAGCGGUGGAGCAUGUGGUUUAAUUCNAAGCAACGCGAAGAACCUUACCAGGCCUUGACAUCCAAUGAACUUUCCAGAGAUGGAUUGGUGCCUUCGGGAACAUUGAGACAGGUGCUGCAUGGCUGUCGUCAACUCGUGUCGUGAGAUGUUGG